This 637-nucleotide ribosomal RNA is filed under the name uncultured bacterium. Its description in RNAcentral is "bacterial SSU rRNA". It matches the Rfam family "Bacterial small subunit ribosomal RNA", at positions 607 to 1244 of the family's 1533-position model. The record is from RNAcentral.
GCUCAACCGGGGAGGGUCAUUGGAAACUGGGGAACUUGAGUGCAGAAGAGGAGAGUGGAAUUCCACGUGUAGCGGUGAAAUGCGUAGAGAUGUGGAGGAACACCAGUGGCGAAGGCGACCCUCUGGUCUGUAACUGACGCUGAGGCGCGAAAGCGUGGGGAGCGAACAGGAUUAGAUACCCUGGUAGUCCACGCCGUAAACGAUGAGUGCUAAGUGUUAGAGGGUUUCCGCCCUUUAGUGCUGCAGCAAACGCAUUAAGCACUCCGCCUGGGGAGUACGGUCGCAAGACUGAAACUCAAAGGAAUUGACGGGGGCCCGCACAAGCGGUGGAGCAUGUGGUUUAAUUCGAAGCAACGCGAAGAACCUUACCAGGUCUUGACAUCCUCUGACAACCCUAGAGAUAGGGCUUCCCCUUCGGGGGCAGAGUGACAGGUGGUGCAUGGUUGUCGUCAGCUCGUGUCGUGAGAUGUUGGGUUAAGUCCCGCAACGAGCGCAACCCUUGAUCUUAGUUGCCAGCAUUCAGUUGGGCACUCUAAGGUGACUGCCGGUGACAAACCGGAGGAAGGUGGGGAUGACGUCAAAUCAUCAUGCCCCUUAUGACCUGGGCUACACACGUGCUACAAUGGGCAGAACAAAG